Molecule: transfer RNA, 52 nt
Filed under: Vibrio parahaemolyticus V-223/04
Lineage: Bacteria; Pseudomonadati; Pseudomonadota; Gammaproteobacteria; Vibrionales; Vibrionaceae
Description: partial tRNA-Ser
Rfam family: tRNA
About the family: Transfer RNA (tRNA) molecules are approximately 80 nucleotides in length. Their secondary structure includes four short double-helical elements and three loops (D, anti-codon, and T loops). Further hydrogen bonds mediate the characteristic L-shaped molecular structure. tRNAs have two regions of fundamental functional importance: the anti-codon, which is responsible for specific mRNA codon recognition, and the 3' end, to which the tRNAs corresponding amino acid is attached (by aminoacyl-tRNA synthetases). tRNAs cope with the degeneracy of the genetic code in two manners: having more than one tRNA (with a specific anti-codon) for a particular amino acid; and 'wobble' base-pairing, i.e. permitting non-standard base-pairing at the 3rd anti-codon position.
Source: RNAcentral
CACAUCACUCAUAAUGAUGGGGUCACAGGUUCGAAUCCCGUCGUAGCCACCA